RNAcentral lists this ribosomal RNA (495 nucleotides) under uncultured bacterium. RNAcentral's name for it is "partial 16S ribosomal RNA". It matches the Rfam family "Bacterial small subunit ribosomal RNA", at positions 28 to 507 of the family's 1533-position model. The record is from RNAcentral.
GACGAACGCUGGCGGCGUGCCUAAUACAUGCAAGUAGAACGCUGAAGGAGGAGCUUGCUUCUCUGGAUGAGUUGCGAACGGGUGAGUAACGCGUAGGUAACCUGCCUGGUAGCGGGGGAUAACUAUUGGAAACGAUAGCUAAUACCGCAUAAGAGUAGAUGUUGCAUGACAUUUGCUUAAAAGGUGCAAUUGCAUCACUACCAGAUGGACCUGCGUUGUAUUAGCUAGUUGGUGGGGUAACGGCUUUCCAAGGCGACGAUACAUAGCCGACCUGAGAGGGUGAUCGGCCACACUGGGACUGAGACACGGCCCAGACUCCUACGGGAGGCAGCAGUAGGGAAUCUUCGGCAAUGGACGGAAGUCUGACCGAGCAACGCCGCGUGAGUGAAGAAGGUUUUCGGAUCGUAAAGCUCUGUUGUAAGAGAAGAACGAGUGUGAGAGUGGAAAGUUCACACUGUGACGGUAUCUUACCAGAAAGGGACGGCUAACUACGUG